RNAcentral lists this ribosomal RNA (253 nucleotides) under uncultured bacterium. RNAcentral's name for it is "partial 16S ribosomal RNA". It matches the Rfam family "Bacterial small subunit ribosomal RNA", at positions 524 to 776 of the family's 1533-position model. The record is from RNAcentral.
UACGAAGGGUGCAAGCGUUAAUCGGAUUUAUUGGGCGUAAAGGGCGCGUAGGCGGAAAAGUAAGUCAUGUGUGAAAUCCUAGGGCUCAACCCUAGAACAGCAUUUGAAACUACUUUUCUCGAGGAUGGACGGAGAAAGUGGAAUUCCAUGUGUAGCGGUGAAAUGCGUAGAUAUAUGGAAGAAUACCAGUGGCGAAGGCGACUUUCUAGUUUUUACCUGACGCUGAGGCGCGAAAGCAAGGGGAGCAAACAGG